RNAcentral lists this ribosomal RNA (253 nucleotides) under uncultured bacterium. RNAcentral's name for it is "partial 16S ribosomal RNA". It matches the Rfam family "Bacterial small subunit ribosomal RNA", at positions 524 to 776 of the family's 1533-position model. The record is from RNAcentral.
UACGUAGGGGGCAAGCGUUGUCCGGAUUUAUUGGGCGUAAAGAGCGUGUAGGCGGCCAGGUAGGUCCGUUGUGAAAACUCGAGGCUCAACCUCGAGACGCCGAUGGAAACCAUCUGGCUAGAGUCCGGAAGAGGAGAGUGGAAUUCCCGGUGUAGCGGUGAAAUGCGCAGAUAUCGGGAAGAACACCCGUGGCUAAGGCGGCUCUCUAGGACGGUACUGACGCUGAGACGCGAAAGCGUGGGGAGCAAACAGG